CCCUGCCCCCCCUACUCUUACGGGAGGCAGCAGUGGGGAAUAUUGCACAAUGGGCGCAAGCCUGAUGCAGCGACGCCGCGUGAGGGAUGACGGCCUUUGGGUUGUAAACCUCUUUCAGUAGGGAAGAAGCCGUAAGGUGACGGUACCUGCAGAAGAAGCGCCGGCUAACUACGUGCCAGCAGCCGCGGUAAUACGUAGGGCGCAAGCGUUAUCCGGAAUUAUUGGGCGUAAAGAGCUCGUAGGCGGUUUGUCGCGUCUGCCGUGAAAGUCCGGGGCUCAACUCCGGAUCUGCGGUGGGUACGGGCAGACUAGAGUGAUGUAGGGGAGACUGGAAUUCCUGGUGUAGCGGUGAAAUGCGCAGAUAUCAGGAGGAACACCGAUGGCGAAGGCAGGUCUCUGGGCAUUAACUGACGCUGAGGAGCGAAAGCAUGGGGAGCGAACAGGAUUAGAUACCCUGGUAGUCCAUGCCGUAAACGUUGGGCACUAGGUGUGGGGGACAUUCCACGUUUUCCGCGCCGUAGCUAACGCAUUAAGUGCCCCGCCUGGGGAGUACGGCCGCAAGGCUAAAACUCAAAGGAAUUGACGGGGGCCCGCACAAGCGGCGGAGCAUGCGGAUUAAUUUGAUGCAACGCGAAGAACCUUACCAAGGCUUGACAUGAACCGGAAAGAUCUGAAACCACUCCCCCCCCCA
RNAcentral lists this ribosomal RNA (691 nucleotides) under Arthrobacter sp. RNAcentral describes it as "bacterial SSU rRNA". It matches the Rfam family "Bacterial small subunit ribosomal RNA", at positions 322 to 1020 of the family's 1533-position model. The record is from RNAcentral. Lineage: Bacteria; Bacillati; Actinomycetota; Actinomycetes; Micrococcales; Micrococcaceae.